Molecule: transfer RNA, 65 nt
Filed under: Culicoides actoni
Lineage: Eukaryota; Metazoa; Arthropoda; Insecta; Diptera; Ceratopogonidae
Description: tRNA-Leu
Source: RNAcentral
UUUAAUAUGGCAGAUUAAGUGCAAUAGGUUUAAACUCUAUAUAUAAAGUGUAACUUUUAUUAAAA